Long non-coding RNA from Falco peregrinus (peregrine falcon), 1341 nucleotides. RefSeq lists it as uncharacterized. The record is from RefSeq and is a predicted model, not a curated record. NCBI's taxonomy places the organism in Eukaryota, Metazoa, Chordata, Aves, Falconiformes, Falconidae. The transcript is spliced from 9 exons.
UGCAUCCUGCUGCUUUUAAAUCUUCGUAUGUUUCUAUUUUGACAGCUGUCUCUGCCCACUAUAGUGCUACUUUGGUCUAUGUGGAGAUGGUAGAUUGCAGCAUAAACAUAAUGAUUAUCGGAAACGUAAGCACCUGAGGAAAUUCUGAAAUUAAGCCCUGUGAACUUUAAUGACGGAAAUGGCUGCUCUGACCUGGGCAACUUUGUACUUUCUGUAAAAGGCUGCUGAAAAAGUCUCAGCUGGGAACUACCCGUUUCCUGCCUCAGCCUGGCACUUCCCUUGUGAGUGGGAAACGGCUCCACGUGCCUGUCUCAAACCUGGGUUGCAGUAGUCAGUAUGGUCUUGCAGAUGCCACUUGUCAGAACUGCUCUACAGACCCGGAGACUCCUGUCCUGGGCAUGAGUGCUGCAGUCCCAGAGACCUCUUGGCUGCCCAUGAACGUCUCUCCCUGCGCCAUCAGCACAGAAAUUGUUUUUCUGUGAGUAAGAGUGGGACUGCUGCCUGGGCUGAUCAGGGGCUGAGAAAAGACCCCCUUUCCUGGAGGAGACACUGAGGGAGUGGAGUGUCUUGUAGCUGAGCUGUCUCUGGAGAGAAUGGAAACAAUUUAGGCAAAAGAAUGGAAAAAGCUGGAUUGCUUGGCCAUGAAGCGGGGCCAGGCUGAGAUAGGAUGCCACUGCCUAUUGUAUCUCCAGGCUGCAGCAUCAGGCUGAGGAUGAGAUUAAAAGAACUUUCUCUGCUUUUCCUGAUACAAGAAACACUUUCCUGAAGUGAGCAGGACCAUGGUGGAGCCAUGGGUCAAUAUUGUCUUUGAUUCUGUUGCCUCCAGAGAAGCUGAUCCUGAGCAGCGGGGACCCCCGCAAGUCCCACUGGGCAGCACCAACGCUUAUGCAACCCUGCUGCACUGUUGCAGGAAGCUGAUCCAGCCAAAAAGUAACCUAAAAAAGAAGUGAUGAGCUGUAUGAACCUGCUCCCCAGGAGGUCGCGCUAAAAGACAAGGAAAGAAAAGCGAUGGAUGAAGGCUUCUGUCAUGGAUCAGAGCUGAUACUGACCAGGAUCUCUUCUCCUUCCAAUGUGUUCACUCAGCUCCACUGCUGGAGAAAUAGUCAGGAGGAAUCCCAACAGGGUCCAGCUGUACAUCCUGAAGAAAAUUUAUAAGGCAUCCUUAUAAGGUGGAGGCAUGUGUCGUUUAAUAAUAUGAUUCAGAGAAGCAUUUCAUGCCUUUGAUUAGGGUGGUUCAGGAGAACAUCUGGAGUUGCCCACUUUUCCUGAAGUGCCUGUUUUGAUUGAUUAUGGAAGCGGAAAGGUCUUUUGUAUUCACCUGGUAGACAUCUCCUGGCCCCA